Molecule: transfer RNA, 66 nt
Filed under: Mogurnda adspersa (purple-spotted gudgeon)
Lineage: Eukaryota; Metazoa; Chordata; Actinopteri; Gobiiformes; Eleotridae
Description: tRNA-Cys
Source: RNAcentral
AGCCUUGAGGUGUGUUACACGUGGGAUUGCAAAUCCCAAGUAGUAGGUAAGUGCCUGCCGGGGCUU